RNAcentral lists this ribosomal RNA (515 nucleotides) under uncultured bacterium. RNAcentral's name for it is "partial 16S ribosomal RNA". It matches the Rfam family "Bacterial small subunit ribosomal RNA", at positions 28 to 523 of the family's 1533-position model. The record is from RNAcentral.
GAUGAACGCUGGCGGCGUGCCUAAUACAUGCAAGUCGAGCGAAUGGAUUAAGAACUUGCUCUUAUGAAGUUAGCGGCGGACGGGUGAGUAACACGUGGGUAACCUGCCCAUAAGACUGGGAUAACUCCGGGAAACCGGGGCUAAUACCGGAUAACAUUUUGAACCGCAUGGUUCGAAAUUGAAAGGCGGCUUCGGCUGUCACUUAUGGAUGGACCCGCGUCGCAUUAGCUAGUUGGUGAGGUAACGGCUCACCAAGGGAACGAUGCGUAGCCGACCUGGGAGGGUGAUCGGCCACACUGGGACUGAGACACGGCCCAGACUCCUGCGGGAGGCAGCAGUAGGGAAUCUUCCGCAAUGGACGGAAGUCUGACGGAGCAACGCCGCGUGAGUGAUGAAGGCUUUCGGGUCGUAAAACUCUGUUGUUAGGGAAGAACAAGUGCUAGUUGAAUAAGCUGGCACCUUGACGGUACCUAACCAGAAAGCCACGGCUAACUACGUGCCAGCCGCCGCCGUAA